Molecule: long non-coding RNA, 533 nt
Filed under: Solanum tuberosum (potato)
Lineage: Eukaryota; Viridiplantae; Streptophyta; Magnoliopsida; Solanales; Solanaceae
Description: long non-coding RNA (STUB_LNC001700)
Source: RNAcentral
UGGAAGAAGUUAAAAAGGGAAGCAAAGGAAGAAAUGAAGAAAGAAACAGACAAUAAGUUAGAAGAGUUGAGUAAAAUAUGGGAAGAAAAAUUUCAAAUGAUGAUGGCAGCUCAAAGUCAACAAUCAAAUGAUCCAAAUCUAACCGUAAGUAGUUUAGAUUAUCUUAAAUUUCAAAUGAUGAUGGCAGCUCAAAGUCAACAAUCAAAUGAUCCAAAUCUAAUCGUAAGUAGUUUAUAUUAUCUUUUUAUAUUAGUGUUUUGAUACUAUGUGGUUUUUUUUAAGAAAACAUACAUAUUAACAAUUAAAUUUUAUUUUUUAAGUAAAUACUUUAUUGUACCUUUUUUUAUUCAAUUUUUCAUUGUUAUUGCAGCUUUUGGAGAAGUGAUGAAAGCACCUAAGUGAUGGAGAGAUGAACAAUUAUUUUUUUGUCUUGUAAAAGUACAUUUCAUAUGUUUGCGUAGAAUAAUGUUCCACUAUUUUGAAUGACAUUGUUUAUCUUUUAUUAUUUUUCUCUAAUAUAUUAUAUUUAUUAC